AUGGCUGUUACUCUGUGGUCAAUCUGGUAUGCUAGACGCAAGGCAGUGUAUGAGUCUUUGUUUCAGAGCCCUCAGCAAACAAUCCGUUUUGUGGACAAUUUUAUAUCUGAAUUGGGCCAACUUGAAAGUGGGCAGGGACGUAGGGAGCAAAGAGCACCUCUGACUGCUCAGCCUAAGCGUUGGCUCCCACCACCCAAUGGUUCUGUAAAGAUUAAUGUAGAUGCUGCUAUUGUAAUAUCACAACAUGGAGGAGCUGUCGCGGCAAUGUGCAGAGAUCAAACGGGCCAAUAUUUGGGAUCUUCGGCUGUGGUCUUCCGAGGAAUCAAUGACCCUUUAAUUCUGGAGACAUUUGCAUGUCGUGAAGCAUUAUCGCUAGCAGAUGAUUUGGCCGUUCAAAAUAUCUGUGUUGCUUCGAAUUGCCAAGAAGCGGUUAAUGAUAUUACAAAGGGGACAUGAGGUCCAAAUGUGGCUAUUGUACAUGAAAUAUCAAGCCGAUGUAAUAAUUUCAAUUCCAGUUCCUUUAUUUUCGAGCGUAGGUAUUUUAAUUUUGAGGCUCAUAAUCUUGCCAAGUUUGCUUGUAACCUAGGUGUAGGUAGGCAUGUGUGGUUGGGAAAUCCUCAUGACCCAAACCUUGUACCCAAGACCAUGGUUUUGAAUGAAUAA
This 663-nucleotide ribosomal RNA is filed under the name Triticum aestivum (bread wheat). RNAcentral describes it as "partial small subunit ribosomal RNA". The record is from RNAcentral. Lineage: Eukaryota; Viridiplantae; Streptophyta; Magnoliopsida; Poales; Poaceae.